AUCUCCAGCUAGAGAUCCUUCCUCUUGGAGCCCUUCUGCGAGCCCAGGACACGGAGAGAAGAAUAACAGAACAAUGCUGUACUUGGCAGAGCAGAGCAAUCCGUAGUCUGUCUUCAUUCAAGCCUACAGAAGAGAAGGCUCCAGGCAGCGCUUACACUACGUUGAGGACUGUUUAACUUCCCAUAGCGUCCUGCAAGUGAGGAGGUUAGAGGUGCACAAGAAGAUGGGAGAGGGCCCACAUCUGACUGAAACUGGGUGAAGGAAUAUUCCAUACCAUAUGACAUCAUGCUGAACAGUAAAACAGUGGGGAAUUGGCCAGGGGGCAGCAGAUGUUUAGCUAGUGGCUGGGUAUCAGUUAGCAGGCAGUGGUGCACUGUGCAUCCCUGGUUUUGUAUGUAUUUAUUGCUAUUAUUAUUACUUUCUUUUCUUUUUCUGUCUUGUUUUAACUUUUUUUUUUUUUUUUACUUUUUUUUUUUUUCCUCCUGAUUUUCUUCCCAAACCCACCACUGUGGGGACUGAGUGAAUGGCUGUCUGGGGCUUAGCUGCCUGACAGUUGGUACCUCAUUACAGAUUUAGGUUUCAAAUUCUAUUUUCAUGUAAACUCCUACAGCAUGAAUGCUAAAAUUCAGGACAGAAUUAGGAUUUUCAAUACACAUUUGUCAGAACUUGUAUUUUACAUAUCUUUCACUGAAUGCAGUGUCUUUGAAUGCAUGGUUUUUUCCUAUUCCUUCCAUUACAGGAGAUUUAUGGUCAUAAGAGAUCUGUGUACUCUGCUCCUUUGUCUUAUUAUUUCAGAUUUGGAACUGUGGCAUCCUUUCUAUGUCAGUAAGUUUAAUCAUCUCAUUGAAUCUCAAUUUAGUCUCGUACUAAACUUGAGCUGAGAAGUUGUGUAUCAGAAUUUUUGCUUGUAACAUUGGUGAAGUCUGAAAGCAGUGGUGGGACAGUGUUCAGUAGCAGGCUUAAAAAUAUAUGUGGUUCUUACAUAGCCUAAAUACUAGAUUUCUAUGUAGAGGUACAGACUCAUAUUGAGGACCAAAUAGUCUUACACUGGAAAGUAUAACACCAAUUCAUGUCAAAAUAAUAUUAAGGCACCGAUGCAGAGUAUAGUGUAAUUUAACAGUUUAUGGUACUGAAGAUAUGCCUUCCAAAAUCUUGAACAAGCCUGAUUUAGUUUUAAUGGAUGCAUUUUUCACUACAGCUAGCUAAGGAGAAAGGAGAUGCUGAAAAGUUCAGUUGCUGGAGUAACAAUUACUAUGAGUUAUCCUUUAGUUGCAUUCAUUUCAAUUUAGACAGAAAUAAUUCUGUACUUUGGAAAUUCAAACACAUUAAAAACUUGACUCCCCUGACUAUUUAUUUAUUUAUUUAUUUUAUGGAACAGAGGAAUUUUAUAACACUUUUUAAAAAUGUGUUUGUUUGUUUGUUUUUACUUAAUAAAUUGUAAAGAUGUCUUAUGCUAUGAAAUGUAUUUAAAAACAGUCAUGAUAUAUGAAGUCUAUAAAAUUGUGUGUGUUUUGAAAAAGUACAUU
This is a long non-coding RNA of Gallus gallus (chicken), 1526 nucleotides long. The record is from Ensembl. NCBI's taxonomy places the organism in Eukaryota, Metazoa, Chordata, Aves, Galliformes, Phasianidae.